RNAcentral lists this ribosomal RNA (236 nucleotides) under uncultured Glomus. Its description in RNAcentral is "partial 18S ribosomal RNA". It matches the Rfam family "Eukaryotic small subunit ribosomal RNA", at positions 569 to 812 of the family's 1831-position model. Lineage: Eukaryota; Fungi; Glomeromycota; Glomeromycetes; Glomerales; Glomeraceae. The record is from RNAcentral.
AGCAGCCGCGGUAAUUCCAGCUCCAAUAGCGUAUAUUAAAGUUGUUGCAGUUAAAAAGCUCGUAGUUGAAUUUCGGGGUUAGCAGGUCGGUCGUGCCAAUGGUAUGCACUGGCUCGCUGACUCCUCCUUCUUGUAGAACCGUAAUGCCAUUAAUUUGGUGUUGCGGGGAAACAGGACUGUUACUUUGAAAAAUUAGAGUGUUUAAAGCAGGCUAGCGCCUGAAUACAUUAGCAUGG